GUAUAGCUCAGUUGGUUAGAGCGUGGUGCUGAUAACACCAAGGUCAUAGGUUCCAUCCCCAUGUGGGACA
RNAcentral lists this transfer RNA (70 nucleotides) under Podarcis lilfordi (Lilford's wall lizard). RNAcentral describes it as "tRNA.Ile". The stretch from base 4 to 62 matches the Rfam family "tRNA", at positions 8 to 63 of the family's 71-position model. From Rfam's summary of the family: Transfer RNA (tRNA) molecules are approximately 80 nucleotides in length. Their secondary structure includes four short double-helical elements and three loops (D, anti-codon, and T loops). Further hydrogen bonds mediate the characteristic L-shaped molecular structure. tRNAs have two regions of fundamental functional importance: the anti-codon, which is responsible for specific mRNA codon recognition, and the 3' end, to which the tRNAs corresponding amino acid is attached (by aminoacyl-tRNA synthetases). tRNAs cope with the degeneracy of the genetic code in two manners: having more than one tRNA (with a specific anti-codon) for a particular amino acid; and 'wobble' base-pairing, i.e. permitting non-standard base-pairing at the 3rd anti-codon position. Lineage: Eukaryota; Metazoa; Chordata; Lepidosauria; Squamata; Lacertidae. The record is from RNAcentral.